CAUCAUUGACAGCGGUGUUGCCACUCAAAUCAAGCGCACGCAAACUUGUACACCACUGGGAUACAAAUGUGAUAAGUAACAUUAGGAUUCUAUGUAAGCUUUCUAAAGGUUGGUUCUCACUAGGACGCAAGCGCAAACGGUAGCGCAACACAAGUGAGAAUCGGUCAAAAACAAGCGUAAGCGCAAGAAAAUCAAGCAGUUGCGUUCUCUUGCGCUUAUGUUCUAGUGAGAAUCGAAAAAACUACGUGCGUUCCGCUUGCGCUUACGUCCAAGUGAGGACCAACCUUAACUUGUAUUCAUUGCAUUAUUUUCAGAGCGAGAUUUUUCAGCUACGAUAGCGUGGGGAGGCCCUUGGUUCGGCACCUUUCAAAUUGAGAGUAGAGUUGAAUGAGUCCGUCUGUUGCAAGGGGAUGCACAAUAGCCACUUUGACAGUUUUGUUAAAAUAACCUCUGAUUAUAGCUAGGGUGAGUUUUACCUUGGUCAUGGCGGUCUGGACCAGGACAAGACUAGCAUCGGUGCUGCCAAGGUAGAGGCUCUCAAGAGAAGAUGCACACAGGGUCUACAUAAAAAGAUUGAAGAUAUUCUAACACCAUUAUAACAAAACUAUUAAUUUUUCAUUACAUUUGGAAAGACACCUACCAACAAUAAGGUUGCAGUUGAGAACCCGUGUGUCGAAGCCUGGAAUUGCUCAUGGGUUACGUAUGAAUUGCUGAAUCCUGUUCUUUAAAAACCAUGUGAAUAUUUAGAUAACCUGGAUUUUUUUUUAGUUACGCUUGUAUGCUUAAUAUUAGAUAACCGUGGUGCAUUGCGGCUUACGACACAUGGAUUCUCAAGUGCAACCUUAUUUUCAAUAGGUGUAUACGAUCUUGAUUUCUAAGAUAAUGAGCAGAGCAAGGCACAUCUCCGUCCUUGUUGUCGCCUUUGUACCAGUACGAAAGCAGCAGGCAUGGUGUACACUGGUGACAUAACGAGGUGUACUGUAUUUACGUUUAUGUGUGUACUGUACAUCCGCGACAUAACAACAUCGACAUAAAACAGUGCCAUAACGACAUGUUUAUUCUCUUAUGUAUGUCGUUACAUAUGUUGUUAUGUCGUUACGCUGCCGAUGUGCAUCACGCUUUAAUGCCAGUUGGAACAUACGUCGAUAGCUGUGGCGGUAAUACGACUGCAGCCUCGUAGGUCAAGGACUUUAAGGUGGUUUGAUGAGCUCAGCAUCCUAAACAAAGAUGGUUGAGUACUUUGGGGGUUUAGGGCAAGUGCAAUAGGGAGUGGGUAGCCAGGGUGUGGUAAGGGAAAGGAGCAAACAAACGUCUCAGUCAAUCAUUCCUUUUUUUCAAAAUGAAUUGAAAGGGGGGGGUCUAGAAUAAAAAUUACAAAUCACUUUUUUUACAUGGACGUAGAUAAUGACAUAAUUUAAAAAAAAGUUCCUGAAUCAUAUGUACUGUAGCAUAUCCUACCGUAUAUUCAUAUGCAAGUCAUAUAAGAAAUACAGUUAAUAUUAUGUUGAGAUAUUAAUUUGCGCUUUUUCAAAUCUCUUUUUCAGACAUAAGGAC
Long non-coding RNA from Nematostella vectensis (starlet sea anemone), 1554 nucleotides. RefSeq lists it as uncharacterized. The record is from RefSeq and is a predicted model, not a curated record. The transcript is spliced from 2 exons. Lineage: Eukaryota; Metazoa; Cnidaria; Anthozoa; Actiniaria; Edwardsiidae.